UCUCCUGAUUUUGUCGACGACAUGCGCC
This 28-nucleotide small RNA is filed under the name Bombyx mori (domestic silkworm). RNAcentral's name for it is "ovarian small RNA-29686". The record is from RNAcentral. Lineage: Eukaryota; Metazoa; Arthropoda; Insecta; Lepidoptera; Bombycidae.